This 200-nucleotide unclassified non-coding RNA is filed under the name soil metagenome. RNAcentral describes it as "partial contains internal transcribed spacer 2 and large subunit ribosomal RNA". The record is from RNAcentral.
UUCGAGCGUCAUUUAAACCUUCAAGCUAUGCUUGGUGUUGGGUGCUUGUUCCGCCUCAGCGCGUGGACUCGCCUCAAAUUCAUUGGCAGCCGGUAUGUUGGCUUCGUGCGCAGCACAUUGCAAGCGAUUUCAGCAAACCUUCUUCCAUAAGCCUUUUUUACUUUGACCUCGGAUCAGGUAGGGAUACUCGCUGAACUUAA